CUUAGGUUUCUCUCUCUCCCUCUACCUUUCCCUCUCCCUCUCCAGCCUCUCUCUCUCUCUCUCUCUCUCUCUCUCUCUCUCUCUCUCUCUGUGAGUCUCUCCCAUUCACAGACCCCACCAGCGACCACCGCUUGAGACCUAUCAUCAAAGACCCUAGCCACCGUAAACCGAACCAUCCCAACGCAAACUACCCAGACCUUCCACACCCAAGGCCACGGCAACCACCAAGUGGCACGACCACACACGACCACCUGCACCCUUCAAAAUCGCUGCCUCGCGAGACUAUCUCCACAUAAAACCAACGCCACAGCUCGGCCAUGAAUCACCCACUUACACCACCCAGUCACGGCCUUGCACCACCACUACCAACCCUACGUAAACCACCAUAAAGCCUCUACUUUUCCACAUUCGAAACAGAGCACUGCUCUCUCAUAACUCACCUCAGCCGCUGCCCCACGUCGGAACCACCCUGGUGAGCCUCUACUACUUAGACCUGCCCUUGUGAGCCUCACUCACCAACCCGAGUAGCUCCACCAUGAAGAGCUCAAACAACCAUUGUUGUCGUCCAGUUGAGCAUCACUGCGGGAUUGGAAGGCAACCAUCGGCAACAACUCCAGAUUGUGGGAGAUCGUCGGAUUACAGCCCCCACCGUUCUAUCGUACUCCGCCCCUCACCACGGUUGCACAGCCUAAGCCAACCCUCGGUUUCUCCCUCUAUCUCUUGCUACUGAGUUUAUUCUAUAUAAGCUGAAAAUGGUGAGAAGAUAACUGAAGUCCACAGUGCUGCCAAGUUUAUUGUAUAUAAGCAUUCCCAAAUGACAGUUGGAAAUAAUUGAAGAAGACAUUUCAUUUGUAAAUUUGUAAUGUUAAAGUUUGAAUAUCAGGAUGUUGAUCAGUUUAGAACUGUGGGGAUGAACUAUUAUUUUGGUAUUUACUGACUCAGUUUUCCUUACUACAAAUAUAUUCAGAUUCCAACUAUUUAUAGACUAAUACAAAGAUCACUGUACAGAGCAUAUUUCUCA
Juglans regia (Persian walnut) is the source of this 1021-nucleotide long non-coding RNA. RefSeq lists it as uncharacterized. The record is from RefSeq and is a predicted model, not a curated record. The transcript has 2 exons. Lineage: Eukaryota; Viridiplantae; Streptophyta; Magnoliopsida; Fagales; Juglandaceae.